RNAcentral lists this ribosomal RNA (497 nucleotides) under uncultured bacterium. RNAcentral describes it as "partial 16S ribosomal RNA". It matches the Rfam family "Bacterial small subunit ribosomal RNA", at positions 28 to 507 of the family's 1533-position model. The record is from RNAcentral.
GAUGAACGCUGGCGGCGUGCCUAAUACAUGCAAGUCGAGCGAACAGACGAGGAGCUUGCUCCUCUGACGUUAGCGGCGGACGGGUGAGUAACACGUGGAUAACCUACCUAUAAGACUGGGAUAACUUCGGGAAACCGGAGCUAAUACCGGAUAAUAUAUUGAACCGCAUGGUUCAAUAGUGAAAGACGGUUUUGCUGUCACUUAUAGAUGGAUCCGCGCCGCAUUAGCUAGUUGGUAAGGUAAAGGCUUACCAAGGCCACGAUGCGUAGCCGACCUGAGAGGGUGAUCGGCCACACUGGAACUGAGACACGGCCCAGACUCCUACGGGAGGCAGCAGUAGGGAAUCUUCCGCAAUGGGCGAAAGCCUGACGGAGCAACGCCGCGUGAGUGAUGAAGGUCUUCGGAUCGUAAAACUCUGUUAUUAGGGAAGAACAAAUGUGUAAGUAACUAUGCACGUCUUGACGGUACCUAAUCAGAAAGCCACGGCUAACUACGUG